ACGGCAGCGCGGACUUCGGUCUGGCGGCGAGUGGCGAACGGGUGAGUAAUAUAUCGGAACAUGCCCUGAAGUGGGGGAUAACGUAGCGAAAGUUACGCUAAUACCGCAUAUUCUGUGAGCAGGAAAGCAGGGGAUCGCAAGACCUUGCGCUUUAGGAGUGGCCGAUAUCGGAUUAGCUAGUUGGUGAGGUAAAGGCUCACCAAGGCGACGAUCCGUAGCGGGUCUGAGAGGAUGAUCCGCCACACUGGGACUGAGACACGGCCCAGACUCCUACGGGAGGCAGCAGUGGGGAAUUUUGGACAAUGGGCGCAAGCCUGAUCCAGCCAUGCCGCGUGAGUGAAGAAGGCCUUCGGGUUGUAAAGCUCUUUCGGCGGGGAAGAAAUUGCACUUGUUAAUACCGAGUGUAGAUGACGGUACCCGCAUAAGAAGCACCGGCUAACUACGUGCCAGCAGCCGCGGUAAU
RNAcentral lists this ribosomal RNA (463 nucleotides) under uncultured bacterium. RNAcentral's name for it is "bacterial SSU rRNA". It matches the Rfam family "Bacterial small subunit ribosomal RNA", at positions 66 to 524 of the family's 1533-position model. The record is from RNAcentral.